AAUAAUAUAAGGGCGUAUGGUGGAUGCCUAGGGAUAUCGAGGCGAUGAAGGACGUUGCGUGCCUGCGAUAAGCUCCGGUGAGGUGGCAAGCAACCUUUGACCCGGAGAUUUCCGAAUGGGGAAACCCCUUCGUGAAAAACACGAUGACCGAGCACUUAAUUUUGGAAUUUAAAAAAGAGGCAUAUUGCCUCUAGACUUUCAUAGGCUAUUUGGGUCUACGCAUUAGUGGAAGAUAUUCUCGCGCUACCCUAUAUAGAUCGCAUGGGUCUGAACUUCGAUAAAUAUAUGCGAGCCUAAAUGCUUCUUGGAUUUUUCGGGUUCUGAAGAAUAAUUUUUCUUUUUGCACUCUGUUUACCAAGAAGAAGGAGCAAAAGGACCUGAAGUUAAGAUAAUCUUCUUUCGUUAAAAUGUCAAAUUUAUUCCAAAAUUAAGUGCUCGGAGCGUACCCGCUGAAGUGAAACAUCUCAGUAAGCGGAGGAAAAGAAACCAAGUUUAGUUCCAAAUACAUGCGCCACACAUGUACGCGUGUAUUUGUGAACUAAAUCAUUCCCCAAGUAGCGGCGAGCGAAACGGGAACAGCCUAGAUCGUUUGAUACAAGGGAGCAAUCUUUUGCAUCGGACGAAGUUACAAGAUUAUGAUGUCGAUUCAAUUCGAGAGGGCAAAAAAUCGAAUGUGUUAGGAGAACGGCUCUGGAAAGGCCGGCCAAAGAGGGUAAUAGCCCCGUAUUCGAAAAUAUGUUCGUGCUCUUUUUCAUAACUCUUAAGUACUGCCCCGUUUGUAGUCUGGGCAGGAAGUCGGGAGAACUAGUCUCCCAAGGCUAAAUACUCGAUAUCACCGAUAGUGAACCAGUACCGUGAGGGAAAGGUGAAAAGCAGCCCGGUGAGGGCGAUGAAAUAGUACCUGAAACCAUACGUUUACAAGGAGUCGGAGUCCGUUGCCCGCAAGGGUAACAGGACGACGGCGUGCCUAUUGAAGAAUGAGCCAACGAGUUUUUGGAUUCUACUCGUCUAAGUGCCUUUAAAGCACCAAGGCAGAGGGAAACCGAGUGUUAAUAGCGCGAUCUAAUUUUUAUGUUCAUGCGCUAACGCGUAUGAACGUAUAAAUUAAAAGUAGAAUUCAAAAGACCCGAAACCUCGUGAGCUUACCAUGAGCAGGUUGAACUCCGAUGAAAAUCGGAGGGAGGACCGAACCGGUUGGUCGUACAACGCCUUCGGAUGACUUGUGGUAAGGAGUGAAAAGCUAAUCGAACGAGGAAAUAGCUGGUUCUCUCCGAAAUAGUUUUUGGACUAGCCUCGGAUCACACUUUUGAGGAGGUAAAGCACUGGAAGGUCAGUAAUUGUAGAAAUACAGGCUGACCUAUCAAACUCUGAAUGCCUCAAAUUUUAUUCCGGGAGUCAGUACGCGGGGGCUAAGCUCCGCGGUACAUGAGGGGAAGAGCCCAGACCGUCAACUAAGGUCCCUAAAUCUAUGCUAAGUGGCAAAGGUGGUGAGGUCUCUCAAACAACAAGGAGGUUGGCUUAGAAGCAGCCAUCCUUUAAAGAGUGCGUAACAGCUCACUUGUCAAGAGAUCGUGCGCUUAAAAUUUAACGGGGCUAAGCAUAGUCCCGACGCACUAUCUUUCAUUAGAUAGUGUAGUCGGGAUGCCGACUUCAACAUUAUUAAUUUGUUAAUAGUGCGUCGGCAUACCGAAGUUACGGGUUUGUUCCGCGUUCGCGCGGGACAAGCGGUAGGAGAGCAUUUCAAAUGCUGUGAAGGUUCACCCGCGAGGGGGACUGGAGCGUUUGGAAGAGAGAAUGUUGGCACAAGUAACCACAAGCAGGGUGAGAACCCCUGCCGCCGAAAACCCAAGGUUUCCUUGGCAAUGACAAUCAUCCAAGGUUUAGUCGGCCCUAAGGCAAUGGCGAAAGCCGCAGCCGAUGGACAGCUGGUUAAUAUUCCAGCACUGUGGUGCAUAUCGAUGGCGGGUCGGAGCGAAGUAUGUCGGGCGUAUUAUUGGAUUUACGUUUGCGGCGUGAGGAUGGAGCGUAGGCAAAUCCGCGCUCAAGCUCUUUAAUGAGCGCCGUCCAAGCGUCAUGAAAAUCAUGCGGAGCAAUCCAAAUGAAAUUCGAUAAAGCUCGCUUCCAAGAAAAGCGUCUAAGAUUAUAUGCAUCAUGACCGUACCGGAAACCGACACAGGUGGGUUGGUCGAGUAGACUAAGGCGAACGAGUGAGUCUUCGUUAAGGAACUAGGCAAAAAAGCAGCUGUAAGUUCGCAAUAAAGCUUACCAGCCUCACUUUUUGGACAUAAAAAAACCAACUGUUUUAGUUGGCGUGAAGAACUCUAUAUUUUCUAAUCUUUAAAGCAAUAACCGCAAGAAUGAUGAAUGGAGGGUAGAAGACAAGAAUGGAAAACAAUCCUUUAAGCAGAAGUCCAGUAAUAAUAUAUGCGGUUUUGGGACCAAAAAGAUCAGUGAAUACGAAAUUCAGAAUUCCGAUACAAGGGAGCGAUAUAAUGAAGAUGAUAAUUGAUGCCCAAAAUCCGACAAGUAUUGAGCCCACAGUAAACCUCCAACUGUAUGCGGAAUCUGAAAGGGAUUAUACAAAGCAAUAUAAAAAAAGUCAAGUGUGUCUAAAAAGUGAGGCUGGUCGCAGCGAAAGUACCUCUGGCGACUGUUUACCAAAAACACAGGUCCCUGCUAACUCGUAAGAGGAUGUAUAGGGGCUGACGCCUGACCGAUGCGAGAAGGUCAAACAUUUCCGUAGUGGAGUUAAGAUUACAUCAAAAUUUUAUUGCAUGAGAUGUCAAGCCCUCGUCAAUGUCAGCGGUAACUAUAACCGUUCUAAGGUAGCGCAAUUCCUUUCCGGGUAAGUUCCGGAGCGCACGAAAGGCGUAACGAUCGGAGGACUGUCUCAACGAAGAGCUCGGUGAAAAUACAAUGCCGGUGAAGAUGCCGGCUACCUGCAGUUAGACGAAAAGACCCCGGGAGCUUUACUGUAGCUUGAUAUUGGGUCUAGGUUUUUGUUGCGUAGCAUAGGUGGGAGAGGUUGAUCCCCGGUUUCCGGAUCGGGGGGACUCGUCAGUGAAAUACCACUCUUUAAAAACUUAGAUUCUAACCAAUCCGAUACCUAAAAAUGGAAAGCGGAUUGAGACAGUGUCUGGCGGGCAGUUUGUUUGGGGCGAAACCCUUAAGAAGACUGGUCAUUAAGCCGAUCAGUUGUGGGGGCUCCGCGUAAUGCGGAGAAAACAUUCAGCUAUAUGCUGGAACAUCCGGAUGUAUAUGUUGGUACCCGUCGAAGGGUAAAAAACCAACUUUGAAUAUUUCGCGCUUCUGCGGUAACGCAGUAUGUACGAAAUGUGCCGGACAAUCAGCAGGCAACCGAGCGCCUAUGGGUGCUUGGGAGCCCUCAACGACUAUACGCUGAAACCGCUGUAUGGCAGCGGCAUGAUAUAGUCUGAUCUUUCGGGCGACCGAAAGUGCGCAUACUUGCGCAACUUAAUAUGCAUUCAUUGGAAAUCGAAGAGCGAAAGAAACACAUACGAAUAAGCGAUUUCGAGAGAGAUAUUAUUGUGGGCAAACUUCUUGGUGACGGCCACCUUGAAACAAAGAACCAAGGCAGAACGUAUCGGCUGAAAGUGGAGCAUUCAAUCAAGCAAAAGGAAUACGUUGAUUGGGUCUACGGAAAAUUACGGCACUUGGCGAUGUCAGAGCCGUGUGUGAAAGAAAAAGAUGUAUUUCCACCGCAAGGCGGAACAUUCAAAUUUCACGGAUACGGUUUUACCAGUUUGUCGCUUGGCCAAUUACGUUUUUAUGGCCAGCAAUUCUAUAAUCAUGGCAAGAAAGUUAUUCCGAAGAUGAUUGGAAAAAUGCUUUCUCCAUCGGUGAUUGCCAUUUGGUAUCUUGAUGACGGAUCGCUUAAAUCGAAUACCCAUCGAACAUACAUUAUCCAUACCUAUGGAUAUACGAAAUCUGAUUUGCGGAGAGUGCAGGAUGCACUCCUGAAGCGCUUUGACAUACACACAAAUCUUCAUCGUCAAAAUAAGAACGGAAAAGUAUACUGGAGAAUGUAUGUCAUGUCGGAGUCGGCUUGGACAUUUCAGAAAUUGAUCGAGCCGAUUAUCAAACACAUUCCAUCAAUGCAAUAUAAAUUAGGGAACACACAUGCCCAAAAAGUAACGGAGGGGCUUAAAGGUUGGCUUAGGACGAAUGGAAACCGUCCAUGACGUGUAAAGGCACAAGCCAGCUUAACUCUAAGGCGGACAUGCCGAGGAGAUACGAAAGUAUAACUUAGUGAUCCGAUGGCUAUAGUACUUAUUUACAUUCAGGGGUAACUCUGAAUGUGAGUAUGUAUUUCUUACUAGAAUAAGGCCAAAGCUCAACGGAUAAAAGCUACCCCGGGGAUAACAGGCUAGUCGCUUCCAAGAGUCCAUAUCGACGAAGCGGAUCGGCACCUCGAUGUCGGCUCACCCUAUCCUGGGACUGGAGAAGGCCCCAAAGGUUUGGCUGUUCGCCAAUUAAAAGGGUACGCGAGCUGGGUUCAAACCGUUAAGAAACGAGAUUUAUGAAUCUUGAUUUAUGAUUUAAGACUUAUGAUCAGUUUUUUAACAGUUUGAACCCGAGGAAUGACAUCAAUAACGGCGGCGUUCCGCAGUAACGCGGAAUGUGAAGUUAACUUAUAUCGGUAAAAUCCUUUUGACAUUUUCCAUAAAUGUUUCUAGAGACAAUACCGAGGGAAGAAAAACAUUACUAUCUUUAAACCACAAAAAUUAUGGCAAUCGAAAACAAUGAAAGCAACCCAUCAUACCAAACACAAAAGGCAGAGAAAAUAGAAGAGAUUGGAGUUUUACUUCAAGAUCUGUCGCAUAGCCUUUCGUAUAAAGAUGGAAAAUUGCAUCAAUUUAACCUAUUUGACCUUCAAGAAAUUGAAAGUCGCCUAAAGGCCCUCAUAAAAGAAGCGAAUGAGGGAAGAAUAAAAGACUAGAUGGUAAUGUUUUAUCACCCGUAGAGACUACACGUUAACCUCCCAAUGAAAAUUUGCAUCCGCAAAUUGAAUCGGGAUGAUGAUAUAGUCCAAUGCACAUAGUAAUAUGUGGUAGACAUGCGUGAGACAGGUUGGUCUCCUAUCUACUGCAGGCGCAAGAUACUUGAGAGGAGUCGUCCUUUGUACGAGAGGAUCAGGAUGAACGAACCUCUGGUCUAUCGGCUGUUCCGCCAGGAGCACUGCCGAGUAGCUAUGUUCGGAAGGGAUAACCGCUGAAAGCAUCUAAGUGGGAAGCCCACCUCAAGAUAAGGUAUCAUAGAUCCGUGAGAGAUGAUCACGUUGAUAGGCCGUAGGUGUACGCGCAGUAAUGCGUUCAGCCGAGCGGUACUAAUAGAUCAUUU
This 5361-nucleotide ribosomal RNA is filed under the name Candidatus Sungbacteria bacterium RIFCSPLOWO2_01_FULL_47_32. Its description in RNAcentral is "23S ribosomal RNA". The stretch from base 1 to 3333 matches the Rfam family "Bacterial large subunit ribosomal RNA". Lineage: Bacteria; Candidatus Sungiibacteriota. The record is from RNAcentral.